GAUUAAAAACCAGAAACUAAUUGGCAUUUAAUUAAUACCCUAAAUUAACUUUUAAGUUUAUAUUUGUGUACCUUUUCCUCCUCGAGAAUAACUUGCAUGCAAGGACUUUUAUCUUUGGGCUAAAGCUCUUAUUAUUCCAUUUUGUUUUGAAGAGUUUUGUAGGGAGGUAGGAGUAUAAUCCAGUAGGGCAUUGGUAUGUUCAACUUGAAUCAUGUAAAAUCAGAGAAAAAGUAAUAUGUGAUCAAUAUAAAAUGAAAUUGAAUACAGAGUAGUCAUAAAUCUAGAUCAGUGACUUUGCUAAAUUCAGUGAAUACGAUAAACACGGAAAUGAAACGACUAAGAGAAGACAAACUGGCAAUAGAGAUUAGAAACAGGAAAAGAGAUGAAUAUGAUAAAACGAUGGAAAUUAAAAGUGAGAAAAUAGAUAAGAGGAGUUGAUUGUUGGGAGUUAAAUAAGAGAUCAAACAGUUUCAGAUCGUGACAUAUUUUAUAUUGAACGUGGUUUGUGGUAGUUUGAGCAAAUUUAGGGAUGUAAGAUUUUUGGAGUUUUAGAAAUGCAGUUUUUUUUCUCUUUUUUUUUUAGCUUUUUUCUCUUUUCUUUUACGUACCACUAUUUUGUUAUUAACUAUUUUUAAUUUUUUUUUUAAAUUAA
Molecule: small RNA, 652 nt
Filed under: Arabidopsis thaliana (thale cress)
Lineage: Eukaryota; Viridiplantae; Streptophyta; Magnoliopsida; Brassicales; Brassicaceae
Description: ATSL083410
Source: RNAcentral